UACAGAGGGGGCAAGCGUUGUUCGGAAUUACUGGGCGUAAAGGGCGCGUAGGCGGCCUGUUAAGUCGAACGUGAAAUCCCCGGGCUCAACCCGGGAACUGCGUCCGAUACUGGCAGGCUUGAAUCCGGGAGAGGGAUGUGGAAUUCCAGGUGUAGCGGUGAAAUGCGUAGAUAUCUGGAGGAACACCGGUGGCGAAGGCGGCAUCCUGGACCGGUAUUGACGCUGAGGUGCGAAAGCGUGGGGAGCAAACAGG
RNAcentral lists this ribosomal RNA (253 nucleotides) under uncultured bacterium. RNAcentral describes it as "partial 16S ribosomal RNA". It matches the Rfam family "Bacterial small subunit ribosomal RNA", at positions 524 to 776 of the family's 1533-position model. The record is from RNAcentral.